RNAcentral lists this ribosomal RNA (463 nucleotides) under uncultured bacterium. RNAcentral describes it as "bacterial SSU rRNA". It matches the Rfam family "Bacterial small subunit ribosomal RNA", at positions 921 to 1397 of the family's 1533-position model. The record is from RNAcentral.
CCGCACAAGCAGCGGAGCGUGUGGUUUAAUUCGUUGCUACGCGAAAAACCUUACCCAGGUUUGACAUACAGGUAGUAGGAAUCCGAGAGGUGACCGACCCUUCGGGGAGCCUGUACAGGUGCUGCAUGGCUGUCGUCAGCUCGUGUCGUGAGAUGUCCGGUUAAGUCCGGCAACGAGCGCAACCCUUGUCGCAUGUUACAAGUGUCAUGCGAGACCGCUGGUAUAAAGCCGGAGGAAGGUGAGGAUGACGUCAAGUCAGCAUGGCCUUUAUAUCUGGGGCUACACACACGCUACAAUGGCCGGUACAAUGGGUCGCAAAACCGCAAGGUGGAGCCAAUCCUCAAAGCCGGUCUCAGUUCAGAUUGUAGGCUGCAACCCGCCUACAUGAAGUCGGAGUUGCUAGUAAACGCGCGUCAGCAUUAGUGCGUUGAAUACGUUCCCGGGGAUUGUACACACCGCCCGU